CGGUUAAAACGCUCGUAGUUGAUAUUCUGCUGGCAAUUCGGGGUACGCCCUAGUGGCGAUAACUUCAGGAAGUGCUUGCAUCAUCUUAGGGAAUGAUAUUGCACUUCGCUGUGCGAUUCAGAAACUAGGUCAUUUACUUUGAGGAAAUCGAAGUGCUCCAAGCAAGCAUACGCUUUGAACAUUGUAGCAUGGAAUAAUCUUACAAACUCUACUGACAUAGAUGAAUCUGUCAGUGGAGGUUAUGAGGAAUAGAAACAAAUGGGGGCAUUCGUAUUUAACUGCUAGAGGUGAAAUUCUUGGAUUUGUUAAAGACGAUCAACUGCGAAGGCACCUGCCAAGGAUGUUUUCAUUGAUCAAGAACGAAAGUUAAGGGAUCGAAGACGAUCAGAUACCGUCCUAGUCUUAACCGUAAACUAUGCCAACUAGGGAUUGGGGGAUGUUGAUUUUAUGGCACCUUCAGCACCUUUGGAGAAAUCAAAGUGCAUGGGUUCCGGGGGGAGUAUGGUCGCAAGGCUGAAACUUAAAGGAAUUGACGGAAGGGCACCACCA
RNAcentral lists this ribosomal RNA (549 nucleotides) under uncultured marine eukaryote. RNAcentral describes it as "SSU rRNA". It matches the Rfam family "Eukaryotic small subunit ribosomal RNA", at positions 616 to 1172 of the family's 1831-position model. The record is from RNAcentral.